RNAcentral lists this ribosomal RNA (497 nucleotides) under uncultured bacterium. RNAcentral describes it as "partial 16S ribosomal RNA". It matches the Rfam family "Bacterial small subunit ribosomal RNA", at positions 28 to 507 of the family's 1533-position model. The record is from RNAcentral.
GAUGAACGCUGGCGGCGUGCCUAAUACAUGCAAGUCGAGCGAACAGACGAGGAGCUUGCUCCUCUGACGUUAGCGGCGGACGGGGGAGUAACACGUGGAUAACCUACCUAUAAGACUGGGAUAACUUCGGGAAACCGGAGCUAAUACCGGAUAAUAUAUUGAACCGCAUGGUUCAAUAGUGAAAGACGGUUUUGCUGGCACUUAUAGAUGGAUCUGCGCCGCAUUAGCUAGUUGGUAAGGUAACGGCUUACCAAGGCAACGAUGCGUAGCCGACCUGAGAGGGUGAUCGGCCACACUGGAACUGAGACACGGUCCAGACUCCUACGGGAGGCAGCAGUAGGGAAUCUUCCGCAAUGGGCGAAAGCCUGACGGAGCAACGCCGCGUGAGUGAUGAAGGUCUUCGGAUCGUAAAACUCUGUUAUUAGGGAAGAACAAAUGUGUAAGUAACUAUGCACGUCUUGACGGUACCUAAUCAGAAAGCCACGGCUAACUACGUG